GCAAACUUGGUCAUUUAGAGGAAGUAAAAGUCGUAACAAGGUCUCCGUUGGUGAACCAGCGGAGGGAUCAUUACAGGGCUUAAAAUACCCUAAAACCACUGUGAAUCUUACCUAUUUGUUGCCUCGGUGGGCGGCCUCCGGGGGAGGCCACAGCCCGUUCGGUCGGGUGCUCGCCAGUGGCUCACCAAACUCUGUUUAUUUUGUUACUCUGAGUAAAAUCCAAAAUAAAAAAACUUUCAGCAACGGAUCUCUUGGUUCUGGCAUCGAUGAAGAACGCAGC
RNAcentral lists this unclassified non-coding RNA (280 nucleotides) under uncultured fungus. RNAcentral's name for it is "partial contains small subunit ribosomal RNA, internal transcribed spacer 1, and 5.8S ribosomal RNA". The stretch from base 1 to 73 matches the Rfam family "Eukaryotic small subunit ribosomal RNA", at positions 1759 to 1831 of the family's 1831-position model. Lineage: Eukaryota; Fungi. The record is from RNAcentral.